UACGGGGGGAGCAAGCGUUGUUCGGAUUUACUGGGCGUAAAGGGCGCGUAGGCGGUAGCACAAGUCAGUUGUGAAAUCUCCGGGCUUAACUCGGAAAGGUCAGCCGAUACUGCGGGGCUAGAGUGCAGAAGGGGCAACUGGAAUUCUCGGUGUAGCGGUGAAAUGCGUAGAUAUCGAGAGGAACACCUGCGGCGAAGGCGGGUUGCUGGGCUGACACUGACGCUGAUUGUGCGAAAGCUAGGGGAGCGAACGGG
RNAcentral lists this ribosomal RNA (254 nucleotides) under uncultured bacterium. RNAcentral describes it as "partial 16S ribosomal RNA". It matches the Rfam family "Bacterial small subunit ribosomal RNA", at positions 524 to 776 of the family's 1533-position model. The record is from RNAcentral.